UACGUAGGUGGCGAGCGUUGUCCGGAAUUAUUGGGCGUAAAGGGAGCGCAGGUGGGAAAGUAAGUCUGCUUUAAAAGUGCGGGGCUCAACCCCGUGAGGGAGUGGAAACUACUUUUCUUGAGUGCAGGAGAGGAAAGCGGAAUUCCUAGUGUAGCGGUGAAAUGCGUAGAUAUUAGGAGGAACACCAGUGGCGAAGGCGGCUUUCUGGACUGUAACUGACACUGAGGCUCGAAAGCCAGGGGAGCGAACGGG
Molecule: ribosomal RNA, 252 nt
Filed under: uncultured microorganism
Description: partial small subunit ribosomal RNA
Rfam family: Bacterial small subunit ribosomal RNA
Source: RNAcentral